Long non-coding RNA from Podarcis raffonei (Aeolian wall lizard), 506 nucleotides. RefSeq lists it as uncharacterized. The transcript has 2 exons. NCBI's taxonomy places the organism in Eukaryota, Metazoa, Chordata, Lepidosauria, Squamata, Lacertidae. The record is from RefSeq and is a predicted model, not a curated record.
GAUCCUUGAGGGAUUCCACUUUCUACAUCUCUCCAUCCGGAAAACAGCCCACUUAUUCCUACUCUCUGCUUCCUGUCACUUAGCCCGUUCCUGAUCCACACAAGGACCUCACCUCUUCUUUCAUGCCUGCUAUGCUUACUCAGGAAUCUUUGGAGAGUGUUUUCAGAAGCAGAGAGAGAGCCAGACACAGACACAGAACCUGAACAGCUUAGAAAAGAGUUACCCAGCUACGAGAUAGUGACAAGGGAACCAGAAGGGAGGGGACAGCCAGGAGAGAUGUCAGUCGAGAGUGUGGGGGACCCCCUUCCUCACCAUGGACUCGGAGGUCUGAACAUAUCAGAGAACAAAGGAGGCAUAGGGAGGGAGGAACUUCCCAUUGGCGCCUGUCUUGCUGCAGAAGGAAGUCGGAAGGAGGGUUUAGAGUAGGCAACUGCCCUUCUUGCAGAGAGCUGUGUAUUUGUGCUCACAACAUGAAGCUGUAAUAAAAAGGACUAUCAAUCUAUCAA